Molecule: ribosomal RNA, 497 nt
Filed under: uncultured bacterium
Lineage: Bacteria
Description: partial 16S ribosomal RNA
Rfam family: Bacterial small subunit ribosomal RNA
Source: RNAcentral
GAUGAACGCUGGCGGCGUGCCUAAUACAUGCAAGUCGAGCGAACAGACGAGGAGCUUGCUCCUCUGACGUUAGCGGCGGACGGGUGAGUAACACGUGGAUAACCUACCUAUAAGACUGGGAUAACUUCGGGAAACCGGAGCUAAUACCGGAUAAUAUAUUGAACCGCAUGGUUCAAUAGUGAAAGACGGUUUUGCUGUCACUUAUAGAUGGAUCCGCGCCGCAUUAGCUAGUUGGUAAGGUAACGGCUUACCAAGGCAACGAUGCGUAUACGACCUGAGAGGGUGAUCGCCCACACUGGAACUGAGCCACGGUCCAGACUCCUACGGGAGGCAGCAGUAGGGAAUCUUACGCAAUGGGCGAAAGCCUGACGGAGCAACGCCGAGUGAGUGAUGAAGGUCUUCGGAUCGUAAAACUCUGUUAUUAGGGAAGAACAAAUGUGUAAGUAACUAUGCACGUCUUGACGGUACCUAAUCAGAAAGCCACGGCUAACUACGUG